This 3490-nucleotide unclassified non-coding RNA is filed under the name Hevea brasiliensis (rubber tree). Lineage: Eukaryota; Viridiplantae; Streptophyta; Magnoliopsida; Malpighiales; Euphorbiaceae. The record is from RNAcentral.
AAUUUCCACUAUGGAUAAGAAUUAAGUAAAAUUUCAAUCCUCAAAACAGAUACUGAUAAAUUAACACCACAAUAGACUUCAUUCUAUUUCUGUGCCAAAGAAAUAAUCUCAACCAUCUGAUAUCACUGUACAUUAUGCAAGCUGUCUUAACCACAUAUAUACAGAGAAAUGAACUCCAGUGAGUAGGAAAAUUACAACGGGAUUUCUGUAAUGUACAAUCAAAACAUACUGCAAAUAAUCCUGUACCCACCAUAAUGCACAAUAGCUAAGAAAUCUUCCCUCAUGCUGCGUAAGUUUUAACUUAUUCCCUCAUGAAGAAUUUCCAUUUUUAGCACACCUUGGUUUGGCCAAUUUAACAUGCUCUCUCUCCAUACAGGUUAGGAAGUUUUUCAUACUCAGCAUCAGAUGUACCAAACGGAACCAAGACCAAGUAUACCAGAAAAAAGAUUAGCUUACAUCAAGGACGCCCUUUUUGGUCGAAUUUUCUUCUAUUAUCUGAGCCGCAAGCAUUAAGAGCUCUACCAUCUCAAAUCCUGCAGCAGAAACAGAAUCAAUCUUCUCACUGCUAGAGUCCCCAUGAAAAUCACCUAGCUCGUUGCGGCCACUAUCACCAACUGAUGCACCAUCUGCCUCAGCUGACCAACUAAUGGGUAAGGAACUACCAAGGGCAGUCUUCAAAAGUUUAGCCUCAGAAAUGAUAUCACCAAUGGCUUGUGACAUGCCAAUGACUGUAACUUCAGAAGCAACCGACUCUUUGACCUUUAGAAGUGCAAGACGAAGUCUAUGAAUUGAAGAAGUCAGAUGCUCCAUACAUUCCAUACUCUCCUUGAGGGUGGCGUUUUCAAUCUUCAUCCUGGCAAAAUCUAAGUCAUUGGACCUUCUGCUGGAGAAAUUUCCUUCAACAUUCAGGCGAGCUUGCUCUUCAUUUCCACUGAAAUCCAUUGUACCAAUCCAACGUCUCAGAUAUGUCUUUUUCAGCAGGCUUCUUAACCUCCCAUCUUUUUCAUGAGGAACAAGCACUUUCCUCCCACUUUCAGUCAAUGGAUUUCCUUGUUGUAUCCCAUGACCUAUUUUCUCUUGUAAUUGUUGAUAUUCCUGUUUUAACUGUGCCAACUCCAUGAGAGCUUUAACCUUUUCAUUGGUAACUUGCAGUAAGUUUCUCUGAAGCUCCUCUAUUUUUUUCUGAAGAGCUGCAUUCACAUUUCUCUCCAGUAAAUGUCUUUCUUCCUGCUGCGAUAAAAGCAACAAUGCCGCAACCUUCUCUUGCAAUGCCUGUGCAAGGGCCUCAGAGGUAUUGCCUUCUUUCAAAGCCACAGUAUCCAGUGAGCCAUCCUUAAUUUCCUUCAAUACCAAAUCUGGGUCAUUAUCAUUAGUUAUGUGUACAUCUUGACAUUCAUUUAUAUCCAGGUUUACAACUCUGUGAGAAAGCCCCAAAUUCUGUUCUUCUCUCACAUCAAUUUGUCCAAUCUUUUCUUCUAGCAUAUUAAUAGUUGAUUGGAUAUGCAAUCUCCCCUCAUCCAGUAAAUUCAUGAUGUAAACUGUGUCCACCGAAUGGUGAUGGCGUAAUUCUCCUAUACCAUUCAUUAUCAUUUUGCCCAAAUGGAUCUGCUUCUUUUCCAGUUCACGAACUUUCUUCUUCAAGUGAUUUUCUAUUUCCAAACCCACUCGUAGUUUACUUUGAAGAUUAUCCACAGAUUUCCUUGCUUUCUCUAGCUCUUCUUCUAAUGCACUCUGUCUGAUGAGAGAGUUACUCUAGUUGCAUAAAGAAAAUAUAUAUUCUUUUGUGGCUAAAUGAAAACAUUAGCAUAAAUGACAAACUCAAAUGUCCAUGAGCUGAAUUUUGAAGCAUGUUCAAAUUUAGCAACUAAUACAAUAUUCUGCAAUCCACAGCGACCUUGAGAAUAUCAAAUCAACUUGUAUCCCUUGUCCAAUCACGUUGUAGCACAAAAUAAAAACAGAAAAAGAGAACCACAAUUUGGAUUGCAAACUAGUGUAAUGAAUGUGCAAAAAACAGGGCUAAAGAAAGAUACUAAAGGUGAAAAAAAAAUAUCCAUAGAUAUACAGGCUCCUAGAGCAGCAAGGAAUCCUAGGGCUGUGAAUUAGCCAAGUUGCUCAUGAGCUAAUUGGUACCUUGGCUUGAAAAUUUCAACCCAAGUUUGUUCAUUAAAAUUAAUCAACUCAUUUUUAAGACUUGUCUAAUAAAUGAGUCAAGCUUAAGCUAAGUAAAGUUUCGCUUAUUUAGGUUCAUGAGCCAGCUCAUCUGUAAGCCUGUAUAUAAAUUUAUUAAUAAUUUGAUUUCAACAUUAAGUUUUGUAAUAUACAUAAAAACACUUAAAUUUUUUAUUUAAAAAUCAUUUUGAAAAAUGAAAAUAAAAGUUUUCAAUUUUUGAAUAUAAACUUACAGUAUAAUCCUUAAAGGUUACACAUUUUAUCAUUGUCAUUAAAAAGAACAAGUAUUGCACAGUAUAUUAAAAUUUUAAAAUAAAUAUUGUAUUUUUAAAAUAAAUCUGUGAAUAUUUACUACAAAUUAAGUCUAAUGAGAAAAAUUUUGGCAGAUUUCUGCAUGUCCAACAAAUGACCGAUAAACGAAGAGUAACUAACCACCCAAGCCUAAGUCUAAAUGUAUAGCUCAUUUUGCAAACAUCCCGAGCUAAGCUCAUCAAAACUCAGCUCAGGCUUGGCAGAGCUUAUAUGAAAUCUCGGAUGAUCCUAUGCACUCUGUGAUACACAACAAAUAAAAACAAAAAGGUCAUAAAAAGUUACAAUGUAUUUAGAGGUAGAGUUAUCAUUAUAACUCCACAUUUCAGCCGAGCCAUGUAAAAGCCAUGCACAUUUAUCAUCCCAACUCGCAUCUUCAAAUCCUUCAAGAGAAGGAAGCCUGAUCUUAUAAAACUUGUUGACAACCUUCUUGAAGGUUUCAUUCUGCUCUUCAUGCUUUGCUUGAUCUAUCACUAGUGCAUUAUUUAGUCUCUUUUGUUCAAGACAAUCUGAGACAAGCUCUUCUAACCUCUUCUGAAUGUCAUUAAAUUUUAGGGACAUCAGCUCCUCUUUCUCUUUAGCCUUUUCAGCCUCCAUUAUUGCAUGAUCGCGUUCAGCAAAAGCAGAAGCUACACAGCCUUGAAAAAAUUUAACCUGCUUCUCUGCCUCCAUAUUCUUUGCCACCUCUCCAUUAUGUAGAUCUGCCAGUUGGCUUUUGAUUCGGUAAGCCUCUGAAAGCUCCUCUUGAAGAUUUAGAUUAUCUCUUGCGCAAGCAGCCAACUUCUUUUUCAAGUUCUCAAUCUCCUGCUCCAAGCCAGCUUUGAAAAUGCAUUUUUGUAGCCACAACAAGGUAGCUAGGUCCAGCUUGCUGCAUGCACAACUGCUCUAUAUCUUUAUGUAACUCAUCACGCUCUACAAAACAUAAUGAUAAAAAACUGUUAUGUCUAAAGGCUUAAUGAAUUAUCUAAUACCAGAAACAUCAAUUUAAAACAGAAAAAAAAAGUGGAACCUG